Molecule: ribosomal RNA, 426 nt
Filed under: uncultured bacterium
Lineage: Bacteria
Description: partial 16S ribosomal RNA
Rfam family: Bacterial small subunit ribosomal RNA
Source: RNAcentral
GUGAGGAAUUUUCCGCAAUGGGCGAAAGCCUGACGGAGCAAUGCCGCGUGAAGGAUGAAGGCCUAUGGGUUGUAAACUUCUUUUCUCAGAAAAGAAUUAUGACGGUAUCUGAGGAAUAAGCAUCGGCUAACUCUGUGCCAGCAGCCGCGGUAAGACAGAGGAUGCAAGCGUUAUCCGGAAUGAUUGGGCGUAAAGCGUCUGUAGGUUGUUUAAAAAGUAUUCUGUCAAAGAUUAGGGCUUAACCCUAGAUAGGCAGAAUAAACUUUUAAGCUAGAGUUUGGUAGAGGCAGAGGGAAUUCCCGGUGGAGCGGUGAAAUGCGUAGAUAUCGGGAGGAACACCAAAGGCGAAGGCACUCUGCUGGGCCAAUACUAACACCGAGAGACGAAAGCGAGGGGAGCAAAUGGGAUUAGAUACCCCUGUAGUCC